GCCCUUGCCCAUUUGAGGGGGAUACCAGUUGGAAACGACUGUUAAUACCGCAUAAUGUCUGUGGAUUAAAGGUGGCUUUCGGGCUGUCGCAGAUGGAUGAGCCUGCGUUGGAUUAGCUAGUUGGUGGGGUAAGGGCCCACCAAGGCUACGGUCCAUAGCUGAUUUGAGAGGAUGAUCAGCCACAUUGGGACUGAGACACGGCCCAAACUCCUACGGGAGGCAGCAGUGGGGAAUAUUGGACAAUGGGGGCAACCCUGAUCCAGCAAUGCCAUGUGUGUGAAGAAGGCCCUAGGGUUGUAAAGCACUUUAGUUGGGGAGGAAAGCCUCAAGGUUAAUAGCCUUGGGGAGGACGUUACCCAAAGAAUAAGCACCGGCUAACUCCGUGCCAGCAGCCGCGGUAAUACGGGGGGUGCAAGCGUUAAUCGGAAUUACUGGGCGUAAAGGGUCUGUAGGUGGUUUGUUAAGUCAGAUGUGAAAGCCCAGGGCUCAACCUUGGAACUGCAUUUGAUACUGGCAAACUAGAGUACGGUAGAGGAAUGGGGAAUUUCUGGUGUAGCGGUGAAAUGCGUAGAGAUCAGAAGGAACACCAAUGGCGAAGGCAACAUUCUGGACCGAUACUGACACUGAGGGACGAAAGCGUGGGGAUCAAACAGGAUUAGAUACCCUGGUAGUCCACGCUGUAAACGAUGAGUACUAGCUGUUGGAGUCGGUGUAAAGGCUCUAGUGGCGCAGCUAACGCGAUAAGUACUCCGCCUGGGGACUACGGCCGCAAGGCUAAAACUCAAAGGAAUUGACGGGGACCCGCACAAGCGGUGGAGCAUGUGGUUUAAUUCGAUGCAACGCGAAGAACCUUACCUGGUCUUGACAUCCUGCGAACUUUCUAGAGAUAGAUUGGUGCCUUCGGGAACGCAGUGACAGGUGCUGCACGGCUGUCGUCAGCUCGUGUUGUGAAAUGUUGGGUUAAGUCCCGCAACGAGCGCAACCCCUAUUGAUAGUUACCAUCAUUAAGUUGGGUACUCUAUUGAGACUGCCGCUGACAAGGCGGAGGAAGGUGGGGACGACGUCAAGUCAUCAUGGCCCUUACGACCAGGGCUACACACGUGCUACAAUGGGUAUUACAGAGGGCUGCGAAGGUGCGAGCUGGAGCGAAACU
This 1153-nucleotide ribosomal RNA is filed under the name uncultured Francisella sp. RNAcentral describes it as "bacterial SSU rRNA". It matches the Rfam family "Bacterial small subunit ribosomal RNA", at positions 121 to 1274 of the family's 1533-position model. The record is from RNAcentral. Lineage: Bacteria; Pseudomonadati; Pseudomonadota; Gammaproteobacteria; Thiotrichales; Francisellaceae.